This 918-nucleotide long non-coding RNA is filed under the name Olea europaea (common olive). RNAcentral's name for it is "long non-coding RNA (OEUR_LNC001737)". The record is from RNAcentral. Lineage: Eukaryota; Viridiplantae; Streptophyta; Magnoliopsida; Lamiales; Oleaceae.
GGGAGGUCGCAACCUGUGGUCAACGGUGCCUGAGUGGAAUGUCAGUGCACAGAUAGCAUAGCAGCGGCGAUUCUGUACACGGCAUUGGCGCUACACAAAGGCGGUGACUUUGCUAGUGGUUGUGCACCGUCCUGGCGCUGCUUCACACCAAAGUAACAUAGCGGCGCCAAGAAUAAUACCUGCAGCAAUGAAAAUACUACUAGCAAUAGUGGGGAAAGUACUAGUAGAGAGAUUGGAGAUUCGUUAAAGAGGAAACUAGGGGCUUUGGUUGAGAUGUAGAACAAAGAACAAAGAUCGAAAAUUCCUCAGAGGAGAAAGCUGGGACAGAAAGAAAAAAAGGUAUUUCUUUUAAUGGCUUUAUCACGUGGCUUUGAUUAUGCCUGAGUUGUAUUAGCACCUUUAUAAUAAAUAAUAAAAAACAAAAUUGUAGCAUUACUUUGUCCGAAUUUAACAAUGUAAUGAUCAAAGUCAAUAUUGAGCCCCAUAGCCUGUCAAAAUUAUCAUUAAACCUUCUUUGGUCUUAGGAUUAUAAAUUUGUCGUGCACAAUCUUAAUUUACGUCUACCAGACGAAGUAUUAGGUUCAUCCAACGUUAUACUAUAAUUGUUGCAAUAACACGGAAAAAUCUUUAAAAACUGUUGAUUUCACUUUUUAUAGGAUAGAACAGAAAAUACAGUCUGUGUCAAUGUAAAGAUGAGCAACAUAACAGCAGCAAAAAAAGAAACAAACGCCCACGGAGUAUUGAAGUAGUUACGCCUUAAGUUCGCCAUCCAUCUGUUCCGGCGUUGACCACAAUGUCUAUUCACUUUUUCAAAUACUUGUUGGUAGCAGAAAUCAGAAGACGUCGGGAUAUAUCUGCCUAUUCGGUUGAACAUGUGGUAGACCAUUCCAUCAUCACCUAGAAAAUUUGUAAUGAUUC